GAUUUACAAUUUUAGAUGAGAAGACCCCAUUCUUCAUGCUAACAGUAUUUUGCUGAGAUGUUUCUGGGGUCUUCUCAUCUAAAAUUGUAAAUCACAAAGACUCCGGAGUCGUAGAGGGUCUUAUUCUCGAGGGCAUUUGCAUUUGUUCCCCUCCAAAUCUAUAAGUGAAGCCAUUCUUGGGUGUGAUAGACAUUUUGUUCAUUGCAUAGUCAAAUUCAUCAAGAUCAAGAUGUUGCUCAUCUAAACUCCCUGCCCCCUCUUCUUCCAUAAAACUCUCCCCAUUAACUACAACAAAAUCUUCUGUAAUAUCUUCAUCGCUGCUAUCUUCCUCAUCACUACCAUAAGUAGUUCUGACAUGCUUCCAGUACACAAAAUUUGGGCGGAUAUAACCUCUGUCACAUUUUUUCAGCAAACAUGGGUCAAAUGGGAAGAACAUGUCCAGUCUCUCCAGUCCACCAAAGUCCCUAGAGAAAUCCGAUUCCAACAAAUCUUCAAAAAUGAAUGUUUCAGAUGUGGUGAGCAAAUAAGCAGCUUUUGCCUGUUUGAGAAACUCUUCUACUAUGGAUGGCAGGCAUACCUUAAGAGGAUCCAAUUUAUGUUUCAAGACUGGCCCUAGAGGCAUGACCAGAAGCUGAGAUUUGAGCCUAGGAACAUCCAUAAGAGACCUCAUUCGAAAGCAGAGAACAUACAUUAUGGCCUGGCAUCCAGAAUAGAAAACUCGAUGUGCUUUCGGGUUCAUUUCACCAUUCUGGGUUUCACAAUAUUCCAAACACCAGUCCACCAGCCUUUUCAAUGUGCUAGCAACAAAAGCAGCAGACAGAAACUUUGCACGAGCCAAAUAACUAGCAAGAUAAGC
Molecule: unclassified non-coding RNA, 856 nt
Filed under: Hevea brasiliensis (rubber tree)
Lineage: Eukaryota; Viridiplantae; Streptophyta; Magnoliopsida; Malpighiales; Euphorbiaceae
Source: RNAcentral